CCUACGGGGGGCAGCAGUGGGGAAUAUUGGGCAAUGGGCGCAAGCCUGACCCAGCAACGCCGCGUGAAGGAAGAAGGCUUUCGGGUUGUAAACUUCUUUUAAGAGGGAAGAGCAGAAGUCGGUACCUCUUGAAUAAGCCACGGCUAACUACGUGCCAGCAGCCGCGGUAAUACGGAGGGGGCAAGCGUUGUCCGGAUUUACUGGGGGUAAAGGGCGUGCAGCCGGGAAGGUAAGUCAGAUGUGAAAUACCGGGGCUCAACCGCGGAAAUGCAUUUGAAACUGUUUUUCUUGAGUACCGGAGAGGUCAGCGGAAUUCCUUGUGUAGCGGUGAAAUGCGUAGAUAUAAGGAAGAACACCAGUGGCGAAGGCGGAUGACUGGACGGCAACUGACGGUGAGGCGCGAAAGCGUGGGGAGCAAACAGGAUUAGAUACCCCUGUAGUC
Molecule: ribosomal RNA, 442 nt
Filed under: uncultured bacterium
Lineage: Bacteria
Description: partial 16S ribosomal RNA
Rfam family: Bacterial small subunit ribosomal RNA
Source: RNAcentral